CAGGGCCACCGCAGACGCCCCGCGGCAUCGCUGGCCUCGCGCCAUCCAAGGUCUGC
RNAcentral lists this non-coding RNA (56 nucleotides) under unclassified sequences. The record is from RNAcentral.